This 1417-nucleotide long non-coding RNA is filed under the name Capsicum annuum. RNAcentral's name for it is "long non-coding RNA (CANN_LNC009445)". The record is from RNAcentral. Lineage: Eukaryota; Viridiplantae; Streptophyta; Magnoliopsida; Solanales; Solanaceae.
CUAAUUUCACACUAUAAAUGUAUAAACCACACAAAGCACGCAAAAAAAAUUAAUCAAGAAAUCAAAACAAAAUAAUCCAAAAUUUAGUGUUCAGUUCAAUUAUACAGUCCCGAAUAGAAAAAAAAAUGCGAAAAUGUAAAUCCUAUUCUGCUCUUCACUAACUUUGUACUACGCUCCCAUGCUACCCGAUGCCUCGAGCCUUCAUCACAGACGUCUCUAAAUACAAAAUACUUUGGGUCAUUCUCUGAUGAAUAAAUACAAGUGAUUGCGGGGCAUUCCCCGAUUAAAUGAAUACAUUUACAAAUACAAGAACUAAAACCAAACCAUUCAACUCAAAUUCCACAUUCAAACAUUCAACAAGAAAACUUAUUCCUAAAUUUUGCCUACCCGAACCUACAUUGGCCUAUCCAUUUCAACAUAUUAUAAUUCUCUCAUGUUCAAAACAAUAAUCAUGCUCAUCACAAAUUAAACAAAAUAAUAAUAAACCAAAGUUAAUCUAAAUUCAACUUUUUUUUAUCAAUUUAUCAAUUCCAUCCCCAAAUAAUUGACUAAUUCUUUGAUUAUCAAUUCAAUUUCUCACAUCCAAAUCCAACAUCAACUAACCCAUAGUAAAGAUUCAAACAUGCUCAAACAACAAAUCAUUCCCGAUUAAUUAACAAACUUCAACAUAGAAUCACCCAAAAUAAUCAAACUUGCUCAACCACAUAAUCAAGAUCAUAUCAUCAACCAAAGCAUUCUAUCCAUAAUAUCGAAUAUCGUAAAUAAAGAAAUAAGAUAGUAGAGGUUAGAAAUGGACCUGAUUCGGAACUUUUUGAAGAAUAUUAUAAGAAAACCCACUUCCGAGAACCUCAACUUGAGCCUCAACAAUGACAAAAAUCCAACUCGAUAUUGCCAAUUACGAUUCGAACAAAUUUUAAUUCAAGAAACCAAACUCAAUAUAGAACUCCGAAUCAACCACUUAAAAUAGAGAUAAAAAACCUCCCAAAUCCAGAUCCCGAAGAUGAACACCAAUCUUGAAACCCAAAACUAGACCUAAAUAAUUGAUGAGAUGGAAACCUGAUGUUGAACGGACGACGAAGAUUCAAUAUAGAUGGACUGUUUUUUGUUUAAGACCAGCCGGAAUCAAUGGGUUCUCGAUGGAAUCUGUGCGUGUGUGAAUCGUGAGGGUGUAGAAGAGAGGAAAAAGAAUGGAUCUGUGUGUGUAUAUAUGUUGUUAUCUUCCCUUCUCCCCUACCUCUGAUCUCUGUGUAUGCGUGUGAAUCGUGGUGUAUCAGUGUGUGUGUGUUGGUGAGUAUGAGUGUCACUGAUGAAGAAGAAAAAGGGAAAAGCCCCCCUAAAAUGGCGUAUGUAUAUGGUAUAUGUGUCAAAUCCAAAAGGAAAAGUCAGGUCCUUUUUUUUGGACCCUUUCCCCUUUUAU